Molecule: transfer RNA, 91 nt
Filed under: Clostridiales bacterium
Lineage: Bacteria; Bacillati; Bacillota; Clostridia; Eubacteriales
Also listed under: 1 other name
Description: tRNA-Ser
Rfam family: tRNA
About the family: Transfer RNA (tRNA) molecules are approximately 80 nucleotides in length. Their secondary structure includes four short double-helical elements and three loops (D, anti-codon, and T loops). Further hydrogen bonds mediate the characteristic L-shaped molecular structure. tRNAs have two regions of fundamental functional importance: the anti-codon, which is responsible for specific mRNA codon recognition, and the 3' end, to which the tRNAs corresponding amino acid is attached (by aminoacyl-tRNA synthetases). tRNAs cope with the degeneracy of the genetic code in two manners: having more than one tRNA (with a specific anti-codon) for a particular amino acid; and 'wobble' base-pairing, i.e. permitting non-standard base-pairing at the 3rd anti-codon position.
Source: RNAcentral
GGAGAGUUGGCUGAGUGGUCGAAGGCGCACGACUGGAAAUCGUGUUACGGUGGUAAGCCGUACUAGGGUUCAAAUCCCUAACUCUCCGCCA